Long non-coding RNA from Stylophora pistillata, 117 nucleotides. The record is from RefSeq and is a predicted model, not a curated record. NCBI's taxonomy places the organism in Eukaryota, Metazoa, Cnidaria, Anthozoa, Scleractinia, Pocilloporidae.
AAGACUGCGAGCCUUCACGGUUAUGAAUGCUACACAUGCGAAACGUAAUGAGCCUCUUCUCUACUACUUUGGUUGAACUUGCACGUACAGCUUGGCAUCAGAAACUGCCAAUCCUCC